Molecule: ribosomal RNA, 497 nt
Filed under: uncultured bacterium
Lineage: Bacteria
Description: partial 16S ribosomal RNA
Rfam family: Bacterial small subunit ribosomal RNA
Source: RNAcentral
GAUGAACGCUGGCGGCGUGCCUAAUACAUGCAAGUCGAGCGAACAGACGAGGAGCUUGCUCCUCUGACGUUAGCGGCGGACGGGUGAGUAACACGUGGAUAACCUACCUAUAAGACUGGGAUAACUUCGGGAAACCGGAGCUAAUACCGGAUAACAUGUUGAACCGCAUGGUUCAACAGUGAAAGACGGUCUUGCUGUCGCUUAUAGAUGGAUCCGCGCCGCAUUAGCUAGUUGGUAAGGUAACGGCUUACCAAGGCAACGAUGCGUAGCCGACCUGAGAGGGUGAUCGGCCACACUGGAACUGAGACACGGUCCAGACUCCUACGGGAGGCAGCAGUAGGGAAUCUUCCGCAAUGGGCGAAAGCCUGACGGAGCAACGCCGCGUGAGUGAAGAAGGUCUUCGGAUCGUAAAACUCUGUUAUUAGGGAAGAACAAAUGUGUAAGUAACUAUGCACGUCUUGACGGUACCUAAUCAGAAAGCCACGGCUAGCUACGUG